This 3834-nucleotide long non-coding RNA is filed under the name Homo sapiens (human). RNAcentral's name for it is "non-protein coding lnc-MCUR1-3:1". The record is from RNAcentral. Lineage: Eukaryota; Metazoa; Chordata; Mammalia; Primates; Hominidae.
UUUAUUGCUCACACAAAGCCUGUUUGGUGGUCUCUUCACAUGGACGCACAUGAAAGUUACAAGUGUACUGCUCUAGUUGGGGCUGGGUUGAUAAUGGAGGAGGCUAUGCAUCUGUCGGGGCAGGAGACACAUGGAAAAUCUCUAUACCUUCUGCUCAAUUUUGCUGUGAACCUCAAACUGCUCUAAAAAAUGAAGUCUUAGCUGGGGGCAGUGCCUCACACCUGUAAUCCCAGCAUUUUGGGAGGCCAAGGAGGGCGGAUUAUAAGGUCAGGAGUUCAAGACCAGCCUGGCCAACAUGGUGAAACCCCGUCUCUACUAAAAACACAAAAAGUAGCCAGGCAUGGUGGCACAUGCCUGUAAUCCUAGCUACUUAGGAGACCGAGACAGGAGAAUUGCUUGAACCCGGGAGGCGGAGGUUGCAGUGAGCUAAGAUCACGCCACUGCACUACAGCCUGGGUGACAGAGCGAGACUCCAUCUCAGGAAAAAAAAAAAUGAAGUCUUUUUUAAAAAAAGUUAAAAGAUUCAGCCCUGUAGCAGGUCCCAUUCAAGGACUAAGUAAUAGGCUGCAGAAGAAAGGGUGGAAGGCUGCGGAAUUGAUCUGGCUGAAUACCCUGAAGGCACUAAUGAGAGAGGAGGCUGGGUGUCCAUCCUUCUUCCAUUAACUGCUUUGGGAAUACCAGAAGAGCCCCAUAAUGAUUUUACUAACGUCAGAGUUCCUCCUUGGAGAGAUGGAAUUAUUGCACAUCAUAUCUAAAGGUGGACCACAAACCUUGAAAUCAAUUAGACAAGGUCCAGGAAAUUAUUUUCUUUUGCUUCAUAUAAGUUUACUUGACCUCAUCUUCCCCAAUGGGCAAUAGUUGGUGUACGUGCCUGUACAUGUGUGCGUGUGUGUGUGUGUAUUUGUGCAUGUGUGUGUUUUGUAGGCUGUUCCAUGGAUGUUUUUAAUAUGGGCUCUGGAGGUUUGCUGCAAAGCUAAAUUGGGUGAAGAAUGAAGACUCAUUGGUAAAUAUUUCUUUAUGUGCCUAUUUCCUUGAGUAGACUGUGACCUACUCAUUUCUGUAUCCCCUGACCUAGCUAAGCUAGCACAGAGCCCGCUCUCUACUAAGGGCAGAGGGAAUGCUGGUUGAAUGGGGUUAGAAUGAUACUAAAGAAUGGGGUUUACCAGAUGUGCCUAGAGGAAACCAAACCCUCGAUGCAACCAUGUUGACAAGAGCACACAUUUUAGAUUCAGACACACUCAGGUUCAAAUCCUGCUUCAUACAAGGAAACCAGGUGGUGCUAGGUCUGUGAUUGUCUCUGCGUCUCAGUGAUAGGGUAGGUACCUCUGCUGAGCUACAUCAGAAUGCUGAGCAUUGUGGUGUGACCAUGAACCAGAAUAUAAACGUGCUUUGGGAAUAAAGUUACAUUUAAAUGCAUUAUAUAAUUGUAAACAUUUUAGAGAUAAGUGUAAGAAUUAUGUGCAGUUUUUAAAUAAUGGAAGCAAUUUGUUUCAAAAUAAUAAAUGUCUUAAGGUAAUUUUUAACCAAAAGUCAUAGCUGUUUAAGUCCAAAAGCCUCACAAUUACUUGAAAGUAAUGAUUAUUAAAACAUCACAGGGCACUAGAAAACCCCAAGACCAGGAUUGAGCAUUCCUUUCACUCAGCCACAGGAGAGGACCCAGGAGCCAAAAGAAGCCAGGAAGCCCCAUCUCCUCUCUCUGCCAUCGGCAGCAGCACUGCUACCCAGGCAAAUCCUUUUUCUCCUGUUCCCCAAGUGAGGGCUCCUGACAGAAAGCCAGAGCUGAAGUUUAAAACAAUGGCAUGGAAUGGAAUCCUACACCUCUAAUUGGACAAAACCAGAGGAAAGUAUCAGAACGGGGCAAGAGGACAUCCACAGAGCAAGGAGGCACAGAGAGGUGGUAGCAGGUUUCAGGAAUCAAUGAAGCAUGGUGAAAGGACCAAGAACUAGCCUGAGGCUGGAGCUGUGCAAGAGGCAAGGUGGGGAUUGGAGGAAUGAACACACCAACCUUUCUCUCCUCCCACCUUCUGAUCUCCUCUGUAUGUCUCCAUUGCCAAAUCAGCCAGAAGCAGAGGGCAAGUGAGCCCACAUGAAGCAGUCCAUGGGUUCAGUUUUGGGGGGGCAUAGAGCUUGGAUCUGAUGGAGGAGAAAAACCAAGAUAACUAGCACAGCUAUUCUUAGCAGUGAAGUUGGCAUUAGUAUUAAUAUUAGUAUUAACCAUUGCAAAUUAAUAUUAUUGCUAUUACCAUUGUGUAUCUCUAGUAACAGGACCUGUUUCUUUUAUUAUAGAUCUGAGUUUUCGGCUUUGUGUAUAUUUUAUUUAACGGGGCCUGACUUUCUGUUUGGAACCAUAGGAACCCAGCAUCGACCUAGCAGAUGGCAGCUACUCUAAUUCUUAUGCUGGUAAUACAAGAAACCUGGGUCCCUGGAUGACAGCGUGAAGUAGAUCCACCCUGCCAACCAGGUUCUUUUUUUAAACUUGUCACAAGAAUGUAAGUUUCCUUUUUCUGUAAAUACCACUGCAUUGUUGCAACUGCCUUUGGACUGACACAUACUGGACCUGAGAGAUCAGCUUCCUGUCCACCAGAGGCUUGGAAGGCUUCCAUAAGGAGUCCAUGGAAGCUCUGCACCCCACCUCUACCCCCAAGGCCUUGCCCUGUGUAUCUCUUUCUCUUGCUAUUCAUCUGUAUCCUUUAUAAUAAAAUGGUAACAGUAAGUAUAGUGCUUACUUGAGUUUCCUAAGCCAUUCUAUUGAAUUCUUGAGCCAGAGGGAGUUGUGGGAACCCCUAAAUUUGUUGCCAAGUCAGACUGAAGUGAGGGUAGCCUGGGGACCCUGUUUGUAGCUGGUAUGUGAGUAAGGGCAGUAUUAUUAGGGACCUUGCCCUUUACCUUGUGGGUUCUGAUGUUAAAUAGGGAUAGUUAGUGUCAAAAUGUAUUGAAUUGAAUUGUAGGACACCCAGUUGGUGUCAGAGAAUUGCUGUUGGAAUGCAAUCACCAAAUAGAAUCACCUUGUGGCUAAAACAAAGGUUGCAAGAAUGCAGAGGGCUUGGAUUAAAUUACUUACACUGGUAUUGUCCAUGUGGCUCUCACAAAGAUUUAGUUUUCUUAUUGUAAAAGAAAAAUACCUAUAUUCAGGUCUAAUAUGCAAUUUAAAUACACAGGAAAAAAACACCUUAUAAACUGAGCAACACAAAGUAAAUAUUAGCGACUAUUAUGGGCCAGAUGCUAAUAUAAAAACAAAAAUCUUAUUUAUAACCCAACAAGAGCACUGUGGCCAGAUUUUUACCCAUUUUCAAGUCAAGUGAGAGAAAUAAUGAAUGUAGAUUCCCAAAGCUAAAGAUAUAAAUUUGGUCCUACGUAUCUUCUGUGUGCAUGUCUGGGAUUUUUUUCAACCAAUUUUUUUCCAUUCAGUUCCAGGCAGAAACUUGACAAUUUCUUCUCAUGAAUCAUCUUUCUAUGGCACUAUUCCACACCCGGCAGAAAAAUUAUGUGAGGCCACGGUCUUUGCUGGCUGGCACUCAAAGAAAACAUGCAAAACUGAACUCCAUGUGGUCUUUGAGCCAUCCCUCAGAUCCUGAAUUCCCUCAGCCCUUGAACCUGAGUUGGGUUAGUGGGAAUCCCAGCUGGGUGCCAGGGAGAAGGCUGCUCUCAGGACCCAGCAGAAAGGGAUGGGACGGAGCAAUGUGAGUAAAUGAGGGACAUCUGCUCCCGAGAUUUUGUGGCACCCACUCAUCAGAGGUAAAAUGAGCCUGUAACAUUUUUAACAAUUCAAGCCUCUGGUGGACAGGAAGCUGAUCUCUCAGGUCCAGUAUGUGUCAGUCCAAAGGCAGUUGAAGA